Molecule: non-coding RNA, 633 nt
Organism: Procambarus clarkii (red swamp crayfish)
Lineage: Eukaryota; Metazoa; Arthropoda; Malacostraca; Decapoda; Cambaridae
Source: RefSeq, a predicted model, not a curated record
GUUCAUCAACCUCAGCCAAAGGUGGCUGAACUUUGACCUUCAUUUUUUACAGGCUGCGAUGCUGAAACUUGGACCACUUGCAGCCCUCUUCACGUGUAACACGUCAAUAAAUUUUCAUUGCACUAGAACAACUUUUAUGAACCCUAACUAUCGCCCCCUUAAGUGAAGGCAGCACGCAAAACUCACGUCGGCACCUGCGGGUCACAAGGGGCGAUGAAGUGUAGGUACCUCAUCUGGGACCAUCGAAGAAGAUAACCAGGUCCUACAUCUGAGGUAGGCGGCUGGACAGGGGGGCAGGCCCAGCCAGCUCGCACGAGCACUAGGCUGAUCCUCCUUUCCUCUCCCCUAAUGGACGACUCGGCUUCCAACAGAAGAGAGUCCAAAUAGCACCAAGUAACGACAACAUCUCUACCAAGUUCUCCCUGCCCACCGCCUUACUCAUGCAGUGUUUGCUUGGCAUCCAUUCCCCACUAUUCCCUUAUUUCUUACCUUAUGUUUGAUUGCACUAAUAUAACUUUGACCCUUUACCUUACCCACAUGUGUAUUUAAGAUAACUAUGUAUAUUGUAUUCAUUUCUUACCUAAAUAUGUUCCUGAGUGGAACAAAAUGUAGAAAAUAAAUCUUCAGUAACAA